This 600-nucleotide ribosomal RNA is filed under the name uncultured bacterium. RNAcentral's name for it is "bacterial SSU rRNA". It matches the Rfam family "Bacterial small subunit ribosomal RNA", at positions 338 to 961 of the family's 1533-position model. The record is from RNAcentral.
CCUACGGGAGGCAGCAGUGGGGAAUAUUGGGCAAUGGAGGAAACUCUGACCCAGCGACGCCGCGUGCGGGAUGAAGGCCUUCGGGUUGUAAACCGCUUUCAGUAGGGAAGAAGCGAAAGUGACGGUACCUACAAAAGAAGCACCGGCUAACUAUGUGCCAGCAGCCGCGGUAAUACAUAGGGUGCAAGCGUUGUCCGGAAUUAUUGGGCGUAAAGAGCUCGUAGGUCGUUUGUUACGUCGGAUGUGAAAACCUGAGGCUCAACCUCAGGCCUGCAUUCGAUACGGGCAAACUAGAGUUUGGUAGGGGAGACUGGAAUUCCUGGUGUAGCGGUGGAAUGCGCAGAUAUCAGGAGGAACACCAAUGGCGAAGGCAGGUCUCUGGGCCAAUACUGACACUGAGGAGCGAAAGUCUGGGGAGCGAACAGGAUUAGAUACCCUGGUAGUCCAGACCGUAAACGGUGGGCACUAGUUGUGGGAACCUUCCACGGUUUCUGCGACGCAGCUAACGCAUUAAGUGCCCCGCCUGGGGAGUACGAUCGCAAAGAUUAAAACUCAAAGAGUAUGGCGNGUUGAGAGNGACGACGCGACGACGAGGAGGAG